AUGUAUAUGAAAACAAAACUAUGGAAAAAAAUGAAAAAGAGAAUGAAAAAAAAAAAUUAUUUAGAAAUAGCAAAAAAAGAAAAAGAUUUAUUAUAUAGCAAAUUAAUAAAUAAUAAUUCAAUAGUAAAUAAUAGUAGUACAUUCGAUUUAUUUGGUGUUUUUUAUGAUAAUAAAAAUUAUAAAGAUGAAAAAAAAAUAAUAUCCGAAAUUAAUAAAAUGUUAAACUUAGAACCUUUUAAAAGUACUAAUAAAGUCAAUAUACUUGAACACAUUGACAGUCUUUUAAAUUUAAAGACUGAUAAAUUACCAGUACAUAUUCGUAACUUUCUUAUAAAAUAUAGAAGUAUAGCAAAAAAAAUUUAUUCCAUGAAAAAAAAAAAAAAAAAUUAUGAAGAAGGGGAAGGGGAAAAAUCAGAAAGUAGUAAUAAAUAUACGUUAGAAAGGGAUAGCGAAAGUUGUAGCGAAAAUAAAUGUGAGGAUGGUAGUGAGGAUGGUCAAACUGAGUACCCCGAUUUUUAUAAAGACGUUAACAAGGUAAUUAUGAGUUUUAAUAAAAAAUUUAAUAAUCAGGAAUUAAUAAAAAAAGAUCAAUUUCUGAUUGACGAAUUAUAUGAAGAAUACGAAAAACAUAUUCAAAAUAUGAAUUUAAAAAAGAAUAAAUUAGAACCACAAAAUCAUAAUUAUGACUUUUUAACAUAUGUUCAUGAACACAUUGAAAAUUUUCUUUUUUAUAAAUAUGGAAAAUUUAAUUAUGAUUUUCAUGAACAAGUGCAAAAGGUGCAAACUGAAAUAAAAAAUAAAAAUGACAAUAAAAAAGAUGAAAAUUGUAAUGACGAAAGAAUGUUAGAACUUGUUGAAGGGGAGCGAUCUGAUCAUAGUGACAUUAGUAGUGAUAGUAGUAGUGAUAGUAGUAGUGAUAGUAGUAGUGAUAGUAGUAACCCAAAGAGUCAAUCCACUAUUCCGCUUAUAGAUAAUAAUAAUAAUAAUAAAAAAAAGGAAAGUAUUUUAAACAAACUAAAAGUAAACAAACAGUUGAAAAAUGCUGUUCUUUCAGAUAUAAUAGAAAACUAUCAUAAAAAAAUGUAUGACAUUUACAAACCUACCAAUUUAAUAACAAAUGAAUAUGGUUUUAAUAAUUAUAUAAGUAAUGAAGAAUAUGAUAAAGAAAUUAAUGUAUCUUUAAAUAAAUAUAGUAUAUUAAAUUAUGAUUCGAAAGAAGAGUUUAAUAAUGAUGAAAGUUUAUAUGUUGGUAAAUUAAUAUUUGGUAAAAUAUUUAAAAUAGAAAAAAAUUUUGCAUAUGUAGAUAUAAAUUAUUGUUUAUAUGGAGAAUUACAUAAUAGCCAAAUGCCAUAUAAUAUAACUAAUAUAAAAGAUGUAUUAAAAAUAAAUGAUAAAUUAAUAUUUGAAAUUUAUAAAAUAUAUCCUGAUCGAAUAGAAUUAACAUUAAAAAAUAUACAAAAAAUUAAUGAUUUAAAUAAAAUAUUAUUAUAUAAAACACAAGAAAAACCAUUUGAUGUAUUAGUUGUUUCUAUUUUAAAAAAUGGAGUAAGUGUAACUUAUAAUGAUAUAUUUUCAUUUAUACAUGUAUCUGCUUUAUCAUAUAAAUAUAAAACUACAGAAAAUAAAAUAAUAAGUGAUAAUAUAUUAAAUAAACAUAUUAAAGUUUUAUGUACUGAUAUUCAAAAAUUAAGUUUUUCAAAUAUAUUGUAUGAACAAAAUGAACAGUUAAAAGAUAUAAACAUAUAUGAUAUAAUUGAAGUUGAAGUUAUACAUAUAUCAAAAUAUGGAUUAAUGGUUAAAUAUAAAGACAUAGUAGGAUUAAUACAUAUAUCCGAAAUAUCUAAAAAAAAAAUUGAAAACAUAAAUAAUAUAUUUAAAAUUAAUGAUAAAUUAAAAGGUAUUAUAAUUAAUAUUGAUUAUAAUAAUAAAAGAUUUUCAUUAUCAACUAAAUUAUUAGAAACUGAUAAAAAAAAUAUUAUCGAUCAUCGCUCG
Molecule: long non-coding RNA, 1992 nt
Organism: Piliocolobus tephrosceles (Ugandan red Colobus)
Lineage: Eukaryota; Metazoa; Chordata; Mammalia; Primates; Cercopithecidae
Source: Ensembl